AAUUCAAAUCGCCCUCUUUGAAUUACAGAGUAACGGCUUCUUCUUCGUUUUCUUGAAGAAGAGUUGAUAAGGAUUUAAUUUUUCGAUCGUUUUACAUUACAAGGAGGAUAUGAUGGCGACCCAGAAUAGGUGUUCCUCUGUUUCGAGUGCGGCGGUAAAGAGACAAGCAAUUCAUCGGGGUUGGAGAAUAAUCAGAUAAGAGAAUUGAAUGCUGGAGCUUCCAUAAUCAGACAGAUCUCGAAUCAUACAGCUAUCUCUGCUCGCAACUCGAUUUCUAAUUCCUCCAAACUUGAAGGUCUUGUGAUUGCAUACCGGCUGCUGGAGUUAUCAUCAACCUGGACCCUUGAAGUUUCCUCCUAUCGGGUUGGGAAAAUAUCGUCGUAUAAUUCUGAAGCAAAUAGAGUUUUACUGAUGCCAGUAGCUGAAUUUCCAGUCAUUUGUACUGAGGAUGAGUCUUCAAAGCAACCAGAUAGCUCUAUUUAUAAUGAAGACGGAUCGACGGAGAUAGAAUUUUCAGC
Long non-coding RNA from Solanum stenotomum, 518 nucleotides. RefSeq lists it as uncharacterized. The transcript is spliced from 4 exons. Lineage: Eukaryota; Viridiplantae; Streptophyta; Magnoliopsida; Solanales; Solanaceae. The record is from RefSeq and is a predicted model, not a curated record.